RNAcentral lists this ribosomal RNA (447 nucleotides) under uncultured bacterium. RNAcentral describes it as "bacterial SSU rRNA". It matches the Rfam family "Bacterial small subunit ribosomal RNA", at positions 355 to 825 of the family's 1533-position model. The record is from RNAcentral.
UGGGGAAUAUUGGACAAUGGGCGAAAGCCUGAUCCAGCAAUGCCGCGUGAGUGAUGAAGGCCUUAGGGUUGUAAAGCUCUUUUACCAGGGAUGAUAAUGACAGUACCUGGAGAAUAAGCCCCGGCUAACUCCGUGCCAGCAGCCGCGGUAAUACGGAGGGUGCGAGCGUUGUUCGGAAUCACUGGGCUUAAAGCGCGUGUAGGCGGCAAGUUAAGUGUUGGGUGAAAGCCCUCGGCUCAACCGAGGAACGGCCUGGCAAACUGGCUUGCUUGAGGUACGUAGAGGUGACUGGAACGACGGGUGGAGCGGUGAAAUGCGUAGAUAUCCGUUGGAACGCCGGAGGCGAAAGCGGGUCACUGGGCGUAUCCUGACGCUGAGACGCGAAAGCGUGGGUAGCAAACAGGAUUAGAUACCCAGGUAGUCCCUGAGCGGGCUGGCAAGGCGCAU